RNAcentral lists this ribosomal RNA (406 nucleotides) under uncultured bacterium. RNAcentral's name for it is "bacterial SSU rRNA". It matches the Rfam family "Bacterial small subunit ribosomal RNA", at positions 355 to 775 of the family's 1533-position model. The record is from RNAcentral.
UGGGGAAUAUUGGGCAAUGGGCGAAAGCCUGACCCAGCGACGCCGCGUGGGGGAAGAAGUCUCUCGGGAUGUAAACCCUUGUUGUACGGGACGAAGGACGUGACGGUACCGUACGAGGAAGCCCCGGCAAACUACGUGCCAGCAGCCGCGGUAAUACGUAGGGGGCGAGCGUUGUCCGGAAUCACUGGGCGUAAAGCGCACGUAGGCGGGCUGUUAAGUCGGCCGUAAAAGGCACUGGCUCAACCGGUGGUUGUCGGUCGAUACUGGCGGUCUGGAGGAUGGGAGAGGGAACUGGAAUUCCCGGUGGAGCGGUGAAAUGCGUAGAUAUCGGGAGGAACACCAGUGGCGAAGGCGGGUUCCUGGCCCAUUACUGACGCUGAGGUGCGAAAGCCGGGGGAGCGAACGG